This is a small nuclear RNA of Zalophus californianus (California sea lion), 135 nucleotides long. Its record names the gene U4. It matches the Rfam family "U4 spliceosomal RNA". From Rfam's summary of the family: U4 small nuclear RNA (U4 snRNA) is a component of the major U2-dependent spliceosome. The structure of U4 snRNA from yeast and human has been reported. Lineage: Eukaryota; Metazoa; Chordata; Mammalia; Carnivora; Otariidae. The record is from Ensembl.
AGCUUUGCGCAGUGGUAGUAUCGUAGCCAAUGAGGUUUAUCCAAGGCACGAUUAUUGCUCAUUGAAAACUUUUCCCAAAUAAUCUUCUUUUCUAGAGAAAACUGGAGUAGGAGCUGGUGGAUUUUGCAACUGCAA